UAUUGACUGCCGAAGACAGCAGGUGCCGUAAGGCUUAAAGCUGAUAAUGCCUGCCGAGGAACGUACAAAUCAAACCAAGAUUGAUUUUGUAGACCCCUUUGUCCUUCGGACAAAGGGGUUUUU
Molecule: small RNA, 123 nt
Filed under: chicken gut metagenome
Description: Ribosomal protein L10 leader
Rfam family: Ribosomal protein L10 leader
About the family: This family is a putative r-protein leader autoregulatory structure found in B. subtilis and other low-GC Gram-positive bacteria. It is located in the 5' untranslated regions of mRNAs encoding ribosomal proteins L10 and L12 (rplJ-rplL). A Rho-independent transcription terminator structure that is probably involved in regulation is included at the 3' end.
Source: RNAcentral